ACUCAUGGCGGACGGGUGAGUAACGCGUAAAGAACUUGCCCUUUAGACUGGGAUAACAGAGGGAAACUUCUGAUAAUACUGGAUAAGUUAGUAUAUCGCAUGAUAUACAAAUGAAAGCUACGGCACUAAGGGAGAGCUUUGCGUCCUAUUAGCUAGUUGGUAAGGUAAGAGCUUACCAAGGCGAUGAUAGGUAGCCGGCCUGAGAGGGUGGACGGCCACAAGGGGACUGAGAUACGGCCCUUACUCCUACGGGAGGCAGCAGUU
This 264-nucleotide ribosomal RNA is filed under the name uncultured Leptotrichia sp. RNAcentral describes it as "partial 16S ribosomal RNA". It matches the Rfam family "Bacterial small subunit ribosomal RNA", at positions 91 to 355 of the family's 1533-position model. Lineage: Bacteria; Fusobacteriati; Fusobacteriota; Fusobacteriia; Fusobacteriales; Leptotrichiaceae. The record is from RNAcentral.